RNAcentral lists this transfer RNA (66 nucleotides) under Japananus hyalinus. RNAcentral describes it as "tRNA-Leu". Lineage: Eukaryota; Metazoa; Arthropoda; Insecta; Hemiptera; Cicadellidae. The record is from RNAcentral.
UUCAGUAUGGCAGAGUAGUGCAAUGAACUUAAGAUUCAUACAUAAGUGUAAUCCAUUUUAUUGAAA